RNAcentral lists this non-coding RNA (22 nucleotides) under Arabidopsis thaliana (thale cress). The record is from RNAcentral. Lineage: Eukaryota; Viridiplantae; Streptophyta; Magnoliopsida; Brassicales; Brassicaceae.
UUAACUUUUUUCCUUCUUGUCC